GAAUUUUGGGCAAUGGGGGAAACCCUGACCCAGCAACGCCGCGUGAAGGAUGAAGUAUUUCGGUAUGUAAACUUCGAAAGAAUGGGAAGAAUCAAUGACGGUACCAUUCAUAAGGUCCGGCUAACUACGUGCCAGCAGCCGCGGUAAUACGUAGGGACCAAGCGUUGUUCGGAUUUACUGGGCGUAAAGGGCGCGUAGGCGGCAUUGUUAGUCACUUGUGAAAUCUCCGGGCUUAACUCGGAACGGCCAAGUGAUACUGCAGUGCUAGAGUGCAGAAGGGGCAAUCGGAAUUCUCGGUGUAGCGGUGAAAUGCGUAGAUAUCGAGAGGAACACCUGAGGUGAAGACGGGUUGCUGGGCUGACACUGACGCUGAGGCGCGAAAGCCAGGGGAGCAAACGGG
This 400-nucleotide ribosomal RNA is filed under the name uncultured bacterium. RNAcentral's name for it is "bacterial SSU rRNA". It matches the Rfam family "Bacterial small subunit ribosomal RNA", at positions 359 to 776 of the family's 1533-position model. The record is from RNAcentral.